This 1114-nucleotide ribosomal RNA is filed under the name uncultured bacterium. Its description in RNAcentral is "bacterial SSU rRNA". It matches the Rfam family "Bacterial small subunit ribosomal RNA", at positions 270 to 1398 of the family's 1533-position model. The record is from RNAcentral.
AAAGCGACGAUCAGUAGCCGACCUGAGAGGGUGACCGGCCACAUUGGGACUGAGACACGGCCCAAACUCCUACGGGAGGCAGCAGUGGGGAAUAUUGCACAAUGGGGGAAACCCUGAUGCAGCGACGCCGCGUGAGCGAAGAAGUAUUUCGGUAUGUAAAGCUCUAUCAGCAGGGAAGAAGAAUGACGGUACCUGACUAAGAAGCACCGGCUAAAUACGUGCCAGCAGCCGCGGUAAUACGUAUGGUGCAAGCGUUAUCCGGAUUUACUGGGUGUAAAGGGAGCGCAGGCGGUACGGCAAGUCUGAUGUGAAAUCCCGGGGCUCAACCCCGGUACUGCAUUGGAAACUGUCGGACUAGAGUGUCGGAGGGGUAAGUGGAAUUCCUAGUGUAGCGGUGAAAUGCGUAGAUAUUAGGAGGAACACCAGUGGCGAAGGCGGCUUACUGGACGAUUACUGACGCUGAGGCUCGAAAGCGUGGGGAGCAAACAGGAUUAGAUACCCUGGUAGUCCACGCCGUAAACGAUGAAAAAAGGGUGUCGGCGAGCACUGCUCUUUUGGCGCCGCAGCAAACGCAAUAAGUAUUCCACCUGGGGAGUACGUUCGCAAGAAUGCAACUCAAAGGAAGGGACGGGGACCUGCACAACCGGCGGAGCAUGUCGUGUAAUUAGAAGCAACCAGAAGAACAUUACCAAUUCUUCACAUCCCACCGACAGAGUAUGCAAUGUACCUUCUUUUCGGAGCAGCGGUGACAGGUGGCGCAUGGUGGUCGUCAGCUUGUCUCGUGACAAGGUGGGCUAACUCCCGCACCGAGCGCAACCACUUUUUUUCGUAGCCAGCGGGUCGCCCGGGCACUCUAGGGAGACUGCCAGGGAUAAUCUGGAGGAAGGUGGGGAUGACGCUAAAUCAUCAUGCCCCUUAUGACUUGGGCUACACACGCGCCACAAUGGAGUAAACAAAGGGAAGCAACUCCCGCAGAGGGGGAGCAAAUCUCAAAAACAAUGUGUCAGUUCGGCCCGUAGUAUGCAAUUCGGAUACAAGAAGAAGGAAUCGCUUGUAUUCGCGAAUCAGAAUGUCGCGGCGAACCCGUUCCCGUCUCCCGCCCAAAGCGCCCUUC